This 505-nucleotide ribosomal RNA is filed under the name uncultured bacterium. RNAcentral describes it as "bacterial SSU rRNA". It matches the Rfam family "Bacterial small subunit ribosomal RNA", at positions 899 to 1397 of the family's 1533-position model. The record is from RNAcentral.
ACUCAAAUGAAUUGACGGGGGCUCACACAAGCGGAGGAGCAUGUUGUUCAAUUCGAAGCAACGCGAAGAAUCUUACCUGGGUUUGACAUGCGUGAGGUAGAAUCCCGAAAGGGUGACGAUGCGGGAAACCGUAAAACACGCACAGGUGCUGCAUGGCUGUCGUCAGCUCGUGUCGUGAGACGUUAGGUUAAGUCCUGUAACGAGCGAAACCCCUGUCGUCUGUUGCCACCGGGUCAAGCUGGGCACUCUGACGAGACUGCCAGUGUCAAACUGGAGGAAGGCGGGGACGACGUCAAGUCAUCAUGGUCCUUACGCCCAGGGCUACAAACGUGCUACAAUGGCCGGUACAGAGAGACGCAAUGCCGCGAGGCGGAGCAAAUCUUCAAAACCGGCCCCAGUUCGGAUUGGAGGCUGAAAUUCGCCUCCAUGAAGCCGGAUUCGCUAGUAAUCGCGGAUCAGAUACGCCGCGGUGAAUACGUUCCUGAGCCUUGUACACACCGCCCGU